UACAGAGGGGGCAAGCGUUGUUCGGAAUUACUGGGCGUAAAGGGCGCGUAGGCGGCCGCCUAAGUCAGACGUGAAAUCCCUCAGCUUAACUGGGGAACUGCGUCUGAUACUGGAUGGCUUGGAUUUGGGAGAGGAAUGCGGAAUUCCAGGUGUAGCGGUGAAAUGCGUAGAUAUCUGGAGGAACACCGGUGGCGAAGGCGGCAUUCUGGACCAAUAUUGACGCUGAGGAGCGAAAGCCAGGGGAGCAAACGGG
Molecule: ribosomal RNA, 253 nt
Filed under: uncultured bacterium
Lineage: Bacteria
Description: partial 16S ribosomal RNA
Rfam family: Bacterial small subunit ribosomal RNA
Source: RNAcentral